Molecule: long non-coding RNA, 845 nt
Organism: Acipenser ruthenus (sterlet)
Lineage: Eukaryota; Metazoa; Chordata; Actinopteri; Acipenseriformes; Acipenseridae
Exons: 2
Source: RefSeq, a predicted model, not a curated record
AGUGCUGAAGGGAUGGAUGGUGGUGCAGUAAAGGUGUUUGUGUCUUCUGGCCCAAUUGAGCUGAAGAGAGAUGGAUCCCUUCCCUUUAUGCCUAGAAGUGGCCAAUUCAAUGUGUGGUCCCUUCUGGGAGCUGCAAUGGGUGUGUGUUCAGUGGUUAUCUUCGUAGCUGGAGUUGUAUCUUUCUGGAAACUGCCAAAAAGUGUGUAUUGAUAAAUGAAAAUCUUACUUGUAAAAGCUUAUUUUUUGUGCUUGACUAAUUCUACACUUGAUAUGUCAGAAUGGCCAUGUCAAUGGGAUUUCCUCCUCUUUGCUGUAGCAAAUGCUUUGAUUUUCCCUGAUCAGGCCAUUCUCAAUAUGGUAUGUUACUCAAGGGCCCUUCACUAAUUCACUGUGUGAACCUGGGGGCAAAGACUUUCCUCCUCCCAUUGAGCUGUAACCUUAUUUUUAUAUUGAACAGUAACAGGGCAAUUACUAUACCUUCAGUUAUUUAGUAUGAUCAAAUUUAAGGAAGAACCCCCCCCCCUCAUUUGUCCCUUUUAUUAAAUAUGUAUUGGGUAACAAUUUUCAUAUAGAAAUUCUAUUUCAGUAUACAACUUAUAUAUUGUCAUGAACCAGGCUUCAACAAGAAACAAACUAGAGCCCUGCAUCACUGAUUUAAGAAUAUAUUUAACUGUUAAUUUAUUUUGAAGCCUCGUGUGUAGAAAUAGUAAUGGAGGAGGGGGGGGGUCAUUUGAAAACAAAAGCUGGUGUAAAGUUAAAAGCUGUCCACCAAAGCCAGGCUUGUCCACUUUCCCUUAUGUUGGGCCCUUCUCCCUGACAGAUUCUCUUGUCUCUUUAAAUUUACA